CGUAGGGUGCAAGCGUUGUCCGGAUUUAUUGGGUUUAAAGGGUGCGUAGGCGGCCCUGUAAGUCAGUGGUGAAAUACUCCAGCUUAACUGGAGGGGUGCCAUUGAUACUGCAGGGCUUGAGUUAAGUUGAAGUUGGCGGAAUUGACGGUGUAGCGGUGAAAUGCUUAGAUAUCGUCAAGAACACCGAUAGUGAAGACAGCUAACUAAACUUUUACUGACGCUGAGGCACGAAAGUGUGGGGAUCAAACAGGAUUAGAUACCCUGGUAGUCCACACUGUAAACGUUGAUUACUCGCUGUGUGCGAUAUACAGUACGCGGCCAAGCGAAAGCGAUAAGUAAUCCACCUGGGGAGUACGCCGGCAACGGUG
RNAcentral lists this ribosomal RNA (368 nucleotides) under uncultured organism. RNAcentral's name for it is "bacterial SSU rRNA". It matches the Rfam family "Bacterial small subunit ribosomal RNA", at positions 526 to 896 of the family's 1533-position model. The record is from RNAcentral.